This 1598-nucleotide long non-coding RNA is filed under the name Solanum tuberosum (potato). RNAcentral's name for it is "long non-coding RNA (STUB_LNC000426)". The record is from RNAcentral. Lineage: Eukaryota; Viridiplantae; Streptophyta; Magnoliopsida; Solanales; Solanaceae.
CCGGAUCUGAUAGAGCUGUCAACCUACACAACUGUGUAGAAGCAAGGGUGAGUACCAAAAGCAACAAGUACUCGCAAGUAACACUAAACUAAGCUAAACUAGCAGCUACAAACAACUCCUUUCAAUCCCAACCGAACCAACGAAACUUCAUUCUAACAUUGAACCAACAACCUAUACUACACAAUUCAUAAUCAACAGAUAUAUCCAACAGUAUCUCAACAUCAACCUCAUAUCCUCAUAUAAGAGCAAAUAGAUCAUAUAUCACAUGAAGAGGAGCAAGUAGGUAAAAUCCACACACCACAGACAAAGAUGAAGUCAAAUGCGAUGCAAAUGCAAUAAUGAUGUCAUGUAGUCGUGAUGCAUGUCUGUCCUAAGAUACACAUCUGUUGACGUAAUCAGACCGCGCUGAAUACUCAAAUCAGAACACAUGGGGCCCACACAUGGACCAUGUAUCACCGCCGGAACCAGAUCCCAUCGGCAUCCAAAUCGCUAGCCGGAGCUAGUCCAUCUCAUAUAUCUCUAGCCGGAGCUAGUCUCAACUGUGUCUCAUAUCCAUCCAUCCUCAUAUCAGUGUCUCAGAACUCAUGCAACAGAUAGUUCACACAUGGGAUGAAUAAUGAAUAUGCACAUGUCAUCAAUCACAAUCAUAUCACGAUCACAUCAUAGUAUUACACAUCAUCUGUCUCAACAUCAAUGUCUGUAUCAAUCAUAGCCUACUCAUGCUCUUCUAUCCCCUCAAUAUCAGUUAUCACAUGACUUAUUCAACAAAUUCAAGUCACAUAUAACACAUUUAGCUCGUUUUAUUCCCCAUCUUUCAAUUACAACAAUUUCAAUCAACAAAUAAAACUCAUCCUCAAUCCCCAUUACUCCCCAACACAAUUAGGAAAGUAGUCAUGUGUAGUCUAAGAGUUUAACAAAGUUUAGAAGUCACUUGCCUCAAAACACUUCAACUAGUAACUCAAAUUUGAGUUUUACCCUUCCGAGCACGCUCCAAAUCACCACAAUCUAUUCAUAAAUGGAAUCCCACAAUAAAUACGAAUCUAACAACACCAAUAUAGUGAAAUUUGGAGAAAAGGGUUGAGUUUUACCCUUCCGAGCACGCUCCAAAUCACCACAAUCUAUUCAUAAAUGGAAUCCCACAAUCAAUACUAAUCUAACAACACCAAUAUCGUGAAAUUUGGAGAAAAAGGUAAAAUGGUCAAAAAAAUCUUGUUCCGGAAAAUAUUCUCAAAAUCUGGAAAUUUUUAGUGAAAAAUGUUCCCCAAGAAAUUUAGAAUCCAAUAGUGAAAACCGUUUCGAAAAAGGAGUUGAAAUGAGUUCACAAGCUUAAAUUUUCUAUUUAAUUUGGAUUAGGCAAAAAACCCCAAAUUUUACAGUUGAGAUCUGAAAUUUUGAUGUUAAAAUCCAUAAAUAAUCGAUGGAAAUCAAAGAUAUAAGUUGGAAAUAACUUACCCAAUGAAUUCCUUGCGAAAACCCACUUGAAAUCACCUAUUUUCGAGCUCUCAAAGUCUAAAAAUGGAGAAAUGGGUAUUUUUCAAGUUAGGGGAAAAUGGCUACUGGUUUUGGCUUUAAAAAAAGAGAAAAGAAACUGCUGUUGC